Molecule: ribosomal RNA, 468 nt
Filed under: uncultured bacterium
Lineage: Bacteria
Description: partial 16S ribosomal RNA
Rfam family: Bacterial small subunit ribosomal RNA
Source: RNAcentral
GACGAACGCUGGCGGCGUGCUUAACACAUGCAAGUCGAACGGAAAGGCCCUGCUUUUGUGGGGUGCUCGAGUGGCGAACGGGUGAGUAACACGUGAGUAACCUGCCCUUGACUUUGGGAUAACUUCAGGAAACUGGGGCUAAUACCGGAUAGGAGCUCCUGCUGCAUGGUGGGGGUUGGAAAGUUUCGGCGGUUGGGGAUGGACUCGCGGCUUAUCAGCUUGUUGGUGGGGUAGUGGCUUACCAAGGCUUUGACGGGUAGCCGGCCUGAGAGGGUGACCGGCCACAUUGGGACUGAGCUACGGCCCAGACUCCUACGGGAGGCAGCAGUGGGGAAUAUUGCACAAUGGGCGGAAGCCUGAUGCAGCAACGCCGCGUGCGGGAUGACGGCCUUCGGGUUGUAAACCGCUUUCGCCUGUGACGAAGAGUGAGUGACGGUAAUGGGUAAAGAAGCACCGGCUAACUACGUG